CAAGAUUGGAUGGCUGGCGGCGCCGGGCGGGGCAUCGCCUGUCCGGUUACGUCCAGCCCCACUCCUCACCUUGCCUACUGCCACCGUUUGUUGCUUCCUGGCGGCGGCGUCCCGCCGCCAGGGGCUUGUAAAAGCCUUGUAUAAGCAUUGAUAUCCUGAUGUACACUAAAUCAUA
RNAcentral lists this unclassified non-coding RNA (175 nucleotides) under soil metagenome. RNAcentral's name for it is "partial internal transcribed spacer 1". The record is from RNAcentral.